CACGGUCUCCACUACCCGAGGUGCCCUGGGGCGGCACACUUCGUCGGGUACAGCGACAGCGACCACGCUGGCGACAUCGACACCAGCAAGAGUACGAGCGGGAUCCUCUUCUUCCUCGGCGAGUGCCCCAUUAGCUGGCAGUCGAUCAAGUAGCAGGUGGUGGCCUUGUCCAGCUGCGAGGCCGAGUACAUAGCGGCCUCCACCGCGUCGACUCAGGCGCUCUGGCUCACUCGACUGCUUGGUGAUCUACUCGGCAGAGACACUGGAGCAGUGCAGCUCAGGGUGGAUAGCAAGUCCGCUCUGGCCUUGGCGAAGAACCCCGUUUUCCACGAACGGAGCAAGCACAUCCGGGUGAGGUAUCACUUCAUCCGAGGCUGCUUGGAGGAAGGAUGCAUCAAGGCGAGCUACAUCAACACCAAGGAUCAGCUUGCGGAUCUGCUCACCAAGCCCCUUGGGAGGAUCAAGUUCCUUGAGCUUUGCUCCAGGACUGGGAUGGUCCAAUCUUCCCACAAGACGACGCACAAGACUUAGGGGGAGAAUGAUGGAUAAGUCUUUGCUGUUGGUCUUUGUGGUCCCUUGUACCCCUGCAGCAUCUUGUAGUCCUUAGCAUCUUGGACUGCAGCAUCUUGGACUGCAGGACAACAGUUAGUGUCCUCUCUAGGACAGCAGUUAGUGUCCUCUCUAGGACAACGGUUAGACUAGUGUUAGACUAGCAUUAUUGGCUUCGUUUGCUGCCCAGCAGCCUGCUGUAUAUAUAUGUGGCCACCCCUCCCGUUGGAAGGCAUGGCAUUGUGAGUGUGAAUGAAGAAAAAACCCAGAAAACUUCCCCAACUUGAGUAUCAUCCUCUCAGCUCAAUGAGAGUGAAAAUUGAGCUUCUAACACGUACUCCUCGGAGUACUCCCCCGCGAGCCCUAGCCCACCAUGCUACCGUGUGGUCGGGGUCAAGGUCGGUGCGGGGAAGGUGCAGUGCCCACCCUUGGAUCGUGGCGAGGUGGAGUCAGUGGACUCCGUACUAGACUCAGUGUUGUGCUUCAUCAAGCCACCACCGAUAUGUGUCCCUCCAGAGAUCCACGACUACACUAACAACGAUGACGAUGAGGAGCCGGAGGGCUCCGACAUUGCUGCCCUCCGUUAGCAUCUUGCCGCACUGCGGCUACGCCUCAACAACAUGGAUGAGCGUGUGGCCAAGUUAGAGAUUGAUCGGAUGGAGCUAGGGGAUAGGGUGGAUACCCUUCGUAAGGCCGUUUGUUCCAAGAUCAAAUGCCUUGCGAAGGCGACCGGGAAUGAGGAUCUCUAUAGAACCCUGGACCCGAAGUAGGGUGCUGUUUUUUUCCUUCCAAAUUUGUUUUUUAAUUUAUUUCACUCAAUUAUAAUCAGCAGCACCUAUUUUUGAAUUCAAUAAAAUAAAAAGAGUUUUGUUUCUCCCUUGUGUCACUUGUGGUUGGUGCACAUUUGUGUGCCAACCACACCCCUGUUCUCACACUUUACCAAAUGCACAUAAAUUUUGAAUGAGAAGAACGUUGCCAAGCUUCCAGAGAAGUUUGAGUAAAUUUGGAGCCGAACUCAAGCCGGGCGGCCUACACCAAGCCGGCCGGCCUACUAAUUUUGCCAAAACGACCAAGGCAAGUUUUGUCAAGAACCUGAAGCUGAGCCUGCAUGACUGAGAAAUGGACCCUGUGGUCUGGCCACAGGUGUAGGCCUACCGACCUCUCCUAGGCCGGCCGGCCCCACUUGUCGGCCAAACCCCGAGCUGCUUCGCUUGAUGACGGUUUGCAACCUCUUUUCCCCCUUUCUUUCUGAUUUUUGUUCAAACUCGUUCUGAAUAAAUUCAUCUGAAAUUGUGAAUGGAAAACCUAGAAAGAGAUGAGAUCUUUUCAUGAGUAUCCAGUCCUUGUUAAGUUUUGUUUCUUGUGCAAUUACCUAAGUGCCUUUGGAACUCCUGAUUAGGCUCACUUGAUCUUUUGCCUAUUGAUCUUUAUGAUAUAAUGACAUGAGAGCCAUGUUUGUUCCCAAUUCAAGGUCUUGGAAGAAUUUUAUUUUGAAAAAAAAAACAAGGCAAUCCUCAUGCUCAACUUUACCAAAGUCCCAUCCAAAGCCAUAUAAAUAUACAUAUAGUUCGAACCUAUAGCUAUUCUCUUCAUUUUGAGCUUGUUCAAACAUCAGUGCCUCUUGAGUAUGUUUUGAUCAUUCAUUCACUUGGGUCAUUCACGUACACGAUUAUCAUCCAAAAGUCCAUCAACUGUGGUCUUAGAUCAGCUCUUCAUCCCCCUGAAAAAGAAGAAAAAGAAUGAACGACAUUCAUGCUAGUUCAGUAAAAAAAGAGAGAGAGGGGAAAGAUGAAAGAUGCUUGAGUUCAAAACCACCAAGGGUCAUGUAUCUCUACACACUCUUCACUUGACUUGAGUUCAUGAAUGGCACAACGACUUAGAGACAUAGUGUUUGAACUUGCAAAAUAAAUGUUGAAGAUAUGCAACCAUCCCUACCUUGAGCUCUACAUAUUGCCUUUAUAGGUAGGAGAGGCUUCAUAAAAAAUCUUGGUGAGGAUCAAACCAGAUGAGUGACUGGCCUGAGCAAUGAAGAGUGUGCCUUGAUUUCUGAAAAUCAUGAAAACCUUCCAAGUACUGCGAAACAGGACUUGUCAUGACCUUCAUUGUUUUAUUCUGAGGAUCAACAAGUGAACAUGACGGUGUUAGCCACCUGGAAUCUAAGGACAUGAUGAGGACAUCAACACCAACGAUACAUCCAUGCCGACACAAGUACCUAUUGCUGGUCCUAUUACUCGCGCUCCUAUUGCUGGUCUUAUUACUCGCGCUCGUGCUCAUCAACUUAAUCAUCAGGUGAGUUCACAUUUGAGUUCAUGUGCAUCAAAUUUAGACCAUGGAGACGCGUGCACUCUUAUUUUGCUUAGGAACCAAGGAGACGACCGAAAGGGAAAUGGAUUCGCGCAGGCUGGAUUCGGAUUGCAGAACAACACCAACUUGUGAUGGUCACCACGGUCGCAUACGAACUCGGAUUGGGGCGUUCAAGUACUUCGUGGAAAGCUUAAGAAGUCUUCUCUCAAAUGGAUCUGGAUUCAUAUCAAUAUCUGUUACGAGUCAGCCGAAAUCGUGGAGUUAAUAAAAGUCCUUUUCUGCCCACGGUGCUGCGUCGCCCUAUUUUGGCCCCAUGGGCCGUGUAUCAAGUUGAGUCCAUUACAGGCGCGUCCUAGGGUUGGAGUAUGAUCCUAACACCCCUGUGGUCAUCCUCCCACGUCCUUAUACCCCUUAGCCGCUGCCAAGAACAGAUUGGGUUUUGUUUAGAUCAAGUUUAGCCUUUGCUAAUUGCUUGUAAGCGCGCGUGCUGGUCCAGCCGCCCGUCUUUGAGUCUUCGGAACCCGACUUCAUUUGUGAUUGAGUUUGAGAUUGAAACCUUUUGUUCCCAUCUAGUAAAUUCAGUACUUGUUUGAUA
Panicum virgatum (switchgrass) is the source of this 3448-nucleotide long non-coding RNA. RefSeq lists it as uncharacterized. NCBI's taxonomy places the organism in Eukaryota, Viridiplantae, Streptophyta, Magnoliopsida, Poales, Poaceae. The transcript has 2 exons. The record is from RefSeq and is a predicted model, not a curated record.